GAUGAACGCUAGCUACAGGCUUAACACAUGCAAGUCGCGGGGCAGCAUGGGGGUUGCUUGCAAUCCCCGAUGGCGACCGGCGCACGGGUGAGUAACGCGUAUCCAACCUGCCCUUCACCACGGGAUAACCCGGCGAAAGUCGGACUAAUACCGUAUGUUGUCCAUUGACGGCAUCCGAUUUGGACGAAAGGUGUGGCGGGGAAGGAUGGGGAUGCGGCCGAUUAGCUGGACGGCGGGGUGACGGCCCACCGUGGCGACGAUCGGGAGGGGUGCUGAGAGGAAGGUCCCCCACACUGGAACUGAGACACGGUCCAGACUCCUACGGGAGGCAGCAGUGAGGAAUAUUGGUCAAUGGGCGUAAGCCUGAACCAGCCAAGUAGCGUGCAGGAUGACGGCCCUAUGGGUUGUAAACUGCUUUUAUGCGGGGAUAAAGUGGCCCACGUGUGGGUUUUUGCAGGUACCGCAUGAAUAAGGACCGGCUAAUUCCGUG
Molecule: ribosomal RNA, 490 nt
Filed under: uncultured bacterium
Lineage: Bacteria
Description: partial 16S ribosomal RNA
Rfam family: Bacterial small subunit ribosomal RNA
Source: RNAcentral